UGAGCAAUCUGCCCUUCUCAUCGGAAUAAGCGUUGGAAACGACGUCUAAUGCCGAAUACGACCUCCUUUCGCAUGAUCGGAGGUGGAAAGCUCCGGCGGAGAAGGAUGAGCUCGCGGCCUAUCAGCUAGUUGGUGUGGGUAAUGGCUCACCAAGGCGACGACGGGUAGCCGGCCUGAGAGGGUGACCGGCCACACUGGGACUGAGACACGGCCCAGACUCCGUACGGGAGCAG
This 233-nucleotide ribosomal RNA is filed under the name uncultured bacterium. RNAcentral's name for it is "partial 16S ribosomal RNA". It matches the Rfam family "Bacterial small subunit ribosomal RNA", at positions 118 to 347 of the family's 1533-position model. The record is from RNAcentral.